Molecule: transfer RNA, 68 nt
Filed under: Parcoblatta lata
Lineage: Eukaryota; Metazoa; Arthropoda; Insecta; Blattodea; Blattellidae
Description: tRNA-Ser
Source: RNAcentral
AGUUAAAAACUUAAGAAAGUACUAUGUUUUGAAAGCAUAAUUAAGAGGUUUAAACCCUCUAUUAACUU